CUUUGAUGUUAAUAUCCAUUUGAUUUUUUCUUUCCAAUUAAUUUUACUAAUUGAAAAAUAAUGUCCAUAAACGGAAUACAACCCUUGAUUGGCUGGCUGAGAAGAAAGGAAAGGGGUUGGAGUAUGGCUAUGUGCAGUCCAGGCCUGUUUCUGGGGUUAACAGCAAAUAGGACGAUAAUCGCGGUUCAUGGAUAUUAGUACGAGAUGCGGUUUCACUAAUAUCUUCGUCGUGAUGCAAUUCAAAACUCAACAGGAAUUUAUAUGAAAUUAGAAAAGAACUGAACAAUAUGGACACAUUUCACUCGAUACCGCUCCACACAUAGGCACGAUUUUAUCAAACUUAUCACCAUAAUUCAAUAAAUGAAACUAAACUUCACCAAACAACUGAGGCCGACUCUCCAUAGUUCCCACAUUUUAACAAUUAUUUUGAUGCAUGAAUCAUGUGCGGUGGAUUGUUUUCUCAUGCACCAUUCCCAUUUUCAUCGGUCCUGUCCGUACUCGAAUUGCAAAAUGGCAACAGACCAGGUGAAAACUUUCAUCUGAUUCCGCACACGAAAAUUCAAAUUUUCCUCGCAAAAAAGUGAAAUCACAAAAAAAAAUAAAAUAGAGAAAAAAAAAAUAAAUUGCACUGGAUAUGAUGAACAAUGGAGCAGAGAAGCACCAAAGUAUGGUUGCUGCAAAUGAAUAAUGAAGGAGCUCAGUGGUGUGGCUUCAAUCUGCUGCAAUUCGCUGCAUGAAUUUAGCAUUUUGAAGAUGAAGCAAUGGAAAAUUGGAAUAAAUUUGGUUUAAUUAAUUUUAAA
Molecule: long non-coding RNA, 800 nt
Filed under: Hermetia illucens (black soldier fly)
Lineage: Eukaryota; Metazoa; Arthropoda; Insecta; Diptera; Stratiomyidae
Description: uncharacterized LOC119656003, transcript variant X1
Source: RNAcentral